UCGAGGAUCUUCGGCAAUGGGCGCAAGCCUGACCGAGCGACGCCGCGUGUGCGAUGAAGGCCUUCGGGUUGUAAAGCACUGUCGGGGGGGAGAAAAGGGUAAAACUUUGAUCUAUCCCCGGAGGAAGCACGGGCUAAGUUCGUGCCAGCAGCCGCGGUAAGACGAACCGUGCGAACGUUGUUCGGAAUCACUGGGCUUAAAGGGCGCGUAGGCGGGCCUUCAAGUCCGGGGUGAAAUCCUCCAGCCUAACUGGAGAAGAGCCUCGGAGACUGAGGGCCUCGAGGGAGGUAGGGGCGUGCGGAACUAUGGGUGGAGCGGUGAAAUGCAUUGAUAUCCAUAGGAACUCCGGUGGCGAAGGCGGCACGCUGGACCUCUUCUGACGCUGAGGCGCGAAAGCCAGGGGAGCAAACG
Molecule: ribosomal RNA, 411 nt
Filed under: uncultured Planctomycetaceae bacterium
Lineage: Bacteria; Pseudomonadati; Planctomycetota; Planctomycetia; Planctomycetales; Planctomycetaceae
Description: partial 16S ribosomal RNA
Rfam family: Bacterial small subunit ribosomal RNA
Source: RNAcentral